RNAcentral lists this ribosomal RNA (418 nucleotides) under uncultured archaeon. RNAcentral's name for it is "bacterial SSU rRNA". It matches the Rfam family "Archaeal small subunit ribosomal RNA", at positions 325 to 747 of the family's 1478-position model. The record is from RNAcentral.
ACGGGGUGCAGCAGGCGCGAAAACUUUACAAUGCGGGCAACCGUGAUAAGGGAACCUCGAGUGCCUGUAAAUGCAGGCUGUUCAGGUGCCUAAAACACACCUGAAGAAAGGGCCGGGCAAGACCGGUGCCAGCCGCCGCGGUAAUACCGGCGGCUCGAGUGGUGGCCGCUUUUAUUGGGCUUAAAGCGUUCGUAGCUGGGUUGUUAAGUCUCUUGGGAAAUCUGGCGGCUUAACCGUCAGGCGUCUAAGGGAUACUGGCAAUCUUGGAACCGGGAGAGGUGAGGGGUACUUCGGGGGUAGGAGUGAAAUCCUGUAAUCCUCGAGGGACCACCUGUGGCGAAGGCGCCUCACCAGAACGGCUUCGACAGUGAGGGACGAAAGCUGGGGGAGCAAACCGGAUUAGAUACCCGUGUAGUCC